GUGCUUGCCUCAGCAGCACACAUACUAAAAUUGGAACGACAGAGAGAAGACUAGCAUAGUCCUUGUGUAAGGAUGACAUGCAAAUUCAGGAAGCAUCCCAUAUUUUG
This is a non-coding RNA of Callorhinus ursinus (northern fur seal), 107 nucleotides long. Lineage: Eukaryota; Metazoa; Chordata; Mammalia; Carnivora; Otariidae. The record is from RefSeq and is a predicted model, not a curated record.